AAGCGCUUCCGGGUCACCGCCGGCUGCAGCCUCCCGGCGCGAUGAAGACAUUGAGGCCCAGAGAGGUUAAGUGACUCAGCCAAGGUCAAACAGCUAUCUAGGAGCCAUGUCCACUUUGUUCCCCUCACUCUUCCCUCAUGUGACUGAGACACUGUGGUUUAAUCUGGAUCGACCCUGUGUGGAAGAGACAGAGCUGCAGCAGCAGGAACAGCAGCAUCAGGCCUGGCUCCAAAGCAUGGCAGAGAAAGACAACAACCUGGUUCCUCUUGGCAAGCCAGCCUCAGAGCACUAUGAUGACGAGGAAGAAGAGGAUGAUGAAGACGAUGAGGAUAGUGAAGAGGACUCAGAGGAUGAUGAGGACAUGCAGGACAUGGACGAGAUGAAUGACUACAAUGAGUGGCCUGAUGACGGAGAGGUCAAUGAGGUGGACAUGGAAGGCAACGAGCAGGAUCAGGACCAGUGGAUGAUCUAGGUAGACAAGGCAGGGUGGACUCAGAGAGAUUCCAGGCCAGCCCGAACUACCCUGCAUCCCAACCCCCACCCCUGCCCACAGAACCAGCUGAUGGCCCCAGUGCCUGAAAGUGCCCUUGGGCACCUCCUUAGCUGCUGCCAGAAUCUGGUCUCCUUGGCCCCUCCCAGGCCAUUGGUCUGCACUUGAAAUCCCCAGGGCCUGAGCCCCACUCCACCUUCCUGGCCAGUACCUCACCCCUUGAUUGGCUGGUCUGGUCUCUUUCUAAGUUUCUUUAAUAAAGACAAAGGAGUGAUUUUCCAAAAA
Mandrillus leucophaeus (drill) is the source of this 775-nucleotide RNA transcript. It is a transcript of the gene named anaphase-promoting complex subunit 15 pseudogene, with no coding region annotated. The transcript has a single exon. The record is from RefSeq and is a predicted model, not a curated record. Lineage: Eukaryota; Metazoa; Chordata; Mammalia; Primates; Cercopithecidae.